CACUACCAACACAAAAAUAGAUUACCUUUACUGAACUAGGUCACUGAUCAUCUAUCGUGAAGAAGCUCAAAUAAACAUUUGCACAAAUUUGUAAGAAUCUGGUAAUAAACUGUGUUCCAGAUUAUGUACAUGUUCUACGCUCUGGGUCUUUAACAGCCGCCAUCAUUCAUGUUGCGUAUUGUAUUUGACGAUUAAGGGUGUGGAGAUUUUGUACUGUUGUUGCUUAAUAUUUUUUAACCAGCUUUGAAAGAUAUGCAGUAUUCAAAAGGUAGCAGUAAUUCUUCCCUCGAGCCACAUCAAGUCGAAUUAAUAAAACUUGCUGAUCUCGCUGGUGUAUCAGUGAAACCACAAAUUUUAAGUAUUCUGAUAGAAAUGCUGGGGAUGAAUAUUCAUCCAAAUUCUCUGCAUUCCUUACUAAAGGAAGUUUGCAGUCGCCGUGGGAUGACUAGAACAUCUCGUGCAAGUGCCAAAUCAAAAUCAAAUAGUCACAAAUCAGCACGAACCUCUGAAAAACUUACAGAUGUUAAAAGCAAGACUUGAUCUCUUCUGUUAGAAGGACUACAAACUUGACAGCCAUGCACAAAUAUGGACAGAGAUCUUGGAUUUAUUUAUUUAAAUACAAGGAAAAAUACAGAACAAAUAUCAGCUGAGUGUACCAAAUCACAUAGGAAGGACAGAUUACUCAAGUAUAUUUUAUUUAUAUCCAAAACUGAAUUUAAAUGUCAGUUAUAUAUAACAUUAUAUCCAAUGAGUUUAUCCUAAAUCAAGGCACCUUUAAUUAAAACAAAUUAUAAGUAUUGACAUUUUGUACUUGCACAAUUUUAGAAAAAGCAUGAAAUAGGGACCUAAUUGCGAAGUUGGACAACAAUAAAGUUAAGCAAGCUUCAUUUUCAA
This is a long non-coding RNA of Zootermopsis nevadensis, 894 nucleotides long. RefSeq lists it as uncharacterized. NCBI's taxonomy places the organism in Eukaryota, Metazoa, Arthropoda, Insecta, Blattodea, Termopsidae. The record is from RefSeq and is a predicted model, not a curated record.